RNAcentral lists this ribosomal RNA (397 nucleotides) under uncultured eukaryote. Its description in RNAcentral is "SSU rRNA". It matches the Rfam family "Eukaryotic small subunit ribosomal RNA", at positions 82 to 482 of the family's 1831-position model. The record is from RNAcentral.
UGAAACUGCGAAUGGCUCAUUAUAUCAGUCUAAAUAUACUUGAUAGUACCUUACUACUUGGAUAACCGUGGUAAUUCUAGAGCUAAUACAUGCUAAAAACCCAGACUUCGGAAUGGGUGUAUUUAUUAGAUAAAAAACCAAUGCCCUUCGGGGCUCCCUGGUGAUUCAUGAUAACUUAACGAAUCGUAUGGCCUUGUGCCGGCGAUGGUUCAUUCUAUAUUCUGCCCUAUCAACUUUCGAUGGUAGGAUAGUGGCCUACCAUGGUGUUAACGGGUAACGGGGAAUUAGGGUUCUAUUCCGGAGAGGGAGCCUGAGAAACGGCUACCACAUCCAAGGAAGGCAGCAGGCGCGCAAAUUACCCAAUCCCGACACGGGGAGGUAGUGACAAUAAAUACUG